GAUCCUGCCGGACCCUACUGCUAUCGGGGUGGGACUAAGACAGGCGAGUUGAACGACUUCUAGCCAUGAUGAAGUCGUAGCAUACGGCUCAGUAACACGUGGCUAACCUACCCUUGAGACGGAGACAACCCGGGAAACUGGGGCUAAUCUCAGAUAGAUGAGAACUCCUGGAACGGGUUCUCGUUCAAAGGGCGUCUAGGCCAUGCUUCUAGAUGUUGCUCAAGGAUGGGGCCGCGACCGAUCAGGCUGUUGGUGAGGCAACGGCUCACCAAACCUUUAACCGGUACGGGCCGUGGGAGCGGGAGCCCGGAGAUGGGAACUGAGACAAGGUCCCAGGCCCUACGGGGCGCAGCCGUUGCGAAAACUUGUCAAUGCACGAAAGUGUGAACGGGCUACCCCGAGUGCUGUCCGCUGAGGAUGGCUUUUCUCUGCUGUUAAAAGGCGGGGGAAUAAGGAGAGGGCAAGUCUGGUGUCAGCCGCCGCGGUAAUACCAGCUCUCCGAGUGGUGGGGAUGUUUAUUGGGCUUAAAGCGUCCGUAGCCUGCUUUUCAAGUCUCUCGUUAAAUCCGGCGAUUCAAUCGUUGGACUGCGGGAGAUACUGUUAGGCUAGGAGGCGGGAGAAGCCGACGGUAUUUCCGGGGUAGGGGUAAAAUCCUAUAAUCCCGGGAGGACCACCAGUGGCGUAGGCGGUCGGCUAGCACGCGCUCGACGGUGAGGGACGAAAGCUGGGGGAGCAAACCGGAUUAGAUACCCGGAUAGUCCCAGCUGUAAACGUUGCGGGCUAGGUGUUGGGGUGGCCACGAGCCACUUCAGUGCCGCAGGGAAGCCAUUAAGCCCGCCGCCUGGGGAGUACGGCCGCAAGGCUGAAACUUAAAGGAAUUGGCGGGGGAGCACCACAAGGGGUGAAGCUUGCGGUUCAAUUGGAGUCAACGCCGGG
RNAcentral lists this ribosomal RNA (936 nucleotides) under uncultured archaeon. RNAcentral's name for it is "bacterial SSU rRNA". It matches the Rfam family "Archaeal small subunit ribosomal RNA", at positions 10 to 922 of the family's 1478-position model. The record is from RNAcentral.